Molecule: long non-coding RNA, 2236 nt
Filed under: Nicotiana benthamiana
Lineage: Eukaryota; Viridiplantae; Streptophyta; Magnoliopsida; Solanales; Solanaceae
Description: long non-coding RNA (NBEN_LNC022118)
Source: RNAcentral
ACGAGCUUAAACUGAUUCAAUUCUGGCGAUUCAAAACAGUUUAUACAAACAUGAGAUUAUGUGUUCUACUACUCAUAUGGAUCUAAAAUGAUGCACAAAUCAUUUAUCAACCUAUAAUGAAACUAAUUGCCACUAAUGUUCUACUCACAGUAAUCAUAUAAAUCUGGUGCAUACAAUCCAAUUCAGUUCAAUCUAUACAGUCCAUCAGUUAAUGUAGUCCAGUGUUUACACAAAUCUAUUACUACUAUUUUUCAUCUAAUAUUCGACAAUAAAUAACAAAUUGACAUCAAAUUGGCAGGACCCAGAUUGUAUUUUUACAAUUAACCAGUACACCUGGACUCAUUCCUUCAUAAAUCAACUGGAGUUGGAAAAAUACCUGGAAAAGAAAAAAUAGGAGAGGGACAAAGGAAUCAGUGAUGAGCAACAACAGGAACACAACCAGCCAGGAAAGAUGCAAUAUCAAACAGCAAGAAUGUAAAUCAGCAGCAACCACACGGCCCAGAUUUAGUGAAUGAAACCAGGAAACUCACUCAAAACCCAAUAAAACAGUAGAUUUAACAGUUUGAAACCCAGUUCAUCACUCUUAAUCUCAAAAAUCUCUGUUUUUCCUCCCAGUAUCUUUUCAAGAGUUUUCAAGCUCCAGAAAACUCUCAGAAUGCUAUGUAAUCUCUAUCUCCCUGUUCAAAUCUCCUACUCUCAAAACUCCCAAGAAAUCUAUCUCAAAGUUCUCCCAAUGCCCUUAAGGAACUGAUUGCAAUCUCUAAAACUCUGAAUCCCCACUCAAUGGAACAGUAGGACCAAGUGUAUAUGUCUGUAUUCUCAGUCUAUUUUUCAGUCUCAAAAACUGAUUUUAAGCUCUCAAAAGCUAACCUCUAAGACUGCCUCUCUAACUGAUUGCAAUCAGACUCUAUCUUUUAUACCCAACACCAGACCCUCCCUUCAGCUCUUAGGAGCACUUCAAACAUUAAUAAAGCCUCCCCCAAUCAUAUUCCCUGAACUCCCCGACUACUAUAUGUCCCAUUUCAUUAUUUAAUUCAAAGGUUAUGGGUAGCACAUUUUUAAUCAACUUCCCCUUUAAACCCAUGUUACUUCUGACCUCCCAUCAGUAAAGGCAUUAAACCAUCAUUUCUCUUUUCCCAAUUAAAAUCCCAUCAGCAAUAACCAAUAAACAAGACUACCAAUUAACUAAUUACACAUGAAAAUAAAUCCUAAUCAACACUAGCACACCAAAACUAAAUUUAAACCCAGAUCAGAUUCAUAUUAGACCCUAAACAGAACAAUAUUAGGAUUCAACUCGUCAAACUCAAUCCACAGUUUAAGCUCGAACUCAAAUUAGAUCAAAUAGCAUCAAAACAAAGACAAAAGAUUCAAUGAUUCAGUUUAAAGGGUCCAAAUGACCAAUUCAAAUCUAACCAGUUUAUUUAUUCGAAAUCAAACUAAGUAUUCUAAAGAUUAACUAAUUCAAGUCUGAUAUUUUUAUCAAAAAAUCAGAAAACAAAUAACACUAAAAAGUUCCGUAAUUAAAAGCUAUUUCUAACAUUUAACUAUCAAUAUUCAUAGAAUUAAAUCAAGCAUAAUUAACAAACUCACUAAGAGCUAAUUCAUGUCCCACAGUCGAACUCUAAUCACAGAAAAGAAGAAGGGGAAGAAAAGACUUGCACAGACGAAAAAGAAAAACAAAAAUUUUGAAAAUAACACAAAGACUUACCUGCUGAACUGGAAAAUCAAACUUAGUGCCCUGACUUGAAUUCGAACUCCCAUUUCGAUUUUGAGAUUGACAUGAACCUUAAUCAAAUUUUCUCUACUGAGAACAUACGACUAAAGUUGAUUACGACCUCAAAUUUUUAAAAUUUUAAUAAUCCUGGAGCUAGGGUUCGUCCCUUCGAUCUAAAAUUUGAGGGGCUCUAUAAAGAUUCGACGGAAACUAGCGGUUGUUAAAGGAUGAGGGAGGCCUACGAUCAAAUGGUGUUGAUUUGGGUUCACGGGGAGGCGGCUAGGGUUUUGGUCCAAUCUUUGAUCUAAGAUUUGAAAUAACGUAGGACGAUUCGAGGGAGAUGGUUAGAGGGGUUAGGUUGGUGAGGUUGAGGGGAAUCUGGGGUGUGAAUUUGGUGGUCAUUGGAGUACCGCCGCCGGGUUUUGGGCGGUGGAACAGGCCUUCGGCUGCUAGGGUUUGGGUAGGUAAUUGUUUGGGGUCUGUAAUCUUUGGAGACGAAGAGGGAAAAUGGGAGGUUUGGCU